RNAcentral lists this unclassified non-coding RNA (257 nucleotides) under Hevea brasiliensis (rubber tree). Lineage: Eukaryota; Viridiplantae; Streptophyta; Magnoliopsida; Malpighiales; Euphorbiaceae. The record is from RNAcentral.
CACAUAUUCUGCUUCAAAAAUCUAUCUUUGAUUCAACAUUCAAAUAAAAAAUCAACAAAUUAAACCAUCCAUAAAUCAACAACAAAUUCUAUCGCAAAGAAGAAAUGCAUAAAAAUUGGAGCACCAAAGGAGUAGGAAGCUACACAGAAGCAAAAGUAGACUUUCAAAAGCCUUGAACCCAGAAUUGCAGAACCCAGAUGAUGAAGGCAAUGAUCUGAGGCGUGAAAGAAGAGUGACUUGCAUACCCAUAGAUCGAG